GGGUUGUGAGGUUAAGCGACUAAGCGUACACGGUGGAUGCCCUGGCAGUCAGAGGCGAUGAAGGACGUGCUAAUCUGCGAAAAGCGUCGGUAAGGUGAUAUGAACCGUUAUAACCGGCGAUGUCCGAAUGGGGAAACCCAGUGUGAUUCGUCACACUAUCGUUAACUGAAUACAUAGGUUAACGAGGCGAACCGGGGGAACUGAAACAUCUAAGUACCCCGAGGAAAAGAAAUCAACCGAGAUUCCCCCAGUAGCGGCGAGCGAACGGGGAGCAGCCCAGAGUCUGAAUCAGCUUGUGUGUUAGUGGAACGGUCUGGAAAGUCCGACGGUACAGGGUGAUAGUCCCGUACACCAAAAUGCACAGGUUGUGAACUCGAAGAGUAGGGCGGGACACGUGGUAUCCUGUCUGAAUAUGGGGGGACCAUCCUCCAAGGCUAAAUACUCCUGACUGACCGAUAGUGAACCAGUACCGUGAGGGAAAGGCGAAAAGAACCCCGGCGAGGGGAGUGAAAAAGAACCUGAAACCGUGUACGUACAAGCAGUGGGAGCACCUUCGGGUGUGACUGCGUACCUUUUGUAUAAUGGGUCAGCGACUUAUAUUCUGUAGCAAGGUUAACCGUAUAGGGGAGCCGCAGGGAAACCGAGUCUUAACUGGGCGUUAAGUUGCAGGGUAUAGACCCGAAACCCGGUGAUCUAGCCAUGGGCAGGUUGAAGGUUGGGUAACACUAACUGGAGGACCGAACCGACUAAUGUUGAAAAAUUAGCGGAUGACUUGUGGCUGGGGGUGAAAGGCCAAUCAAACCGGGAGAUAGCUGGUUCUCCCCGAAAGCUAUUUAGGUAGCGCCUCGUGAACUCAUCUUCGGGGGUAGAGCACUGUUUCGGCUAGGGGGUCAUCCCGACUUACCAACCCGAUGCAAACUACGAAUACCGAAGAAUGUUAUCACGGGAGACACACGGCGGGUGCUAACGUCCGUCGUGAAGAGGGAAACAACCCAGACCGCCAGCUAAGGUCCCAAAGUCAUGGUUAAGUGGGAAACGAUGUGGGAAGGCACAGACAGCCAGGAUGUUGGCUUAGAAGCAGCCAUCAUUUAAAGAAAGCGUAAUAGCUCACUGGUCGAGUCGGCCUGCGCGGAAGAUGUAACGGGGCUAAACCAUGCACCGAAGCUGCGGCAGCGACACUAUGUGUUGUUGGGUAGGGGAGCGUUCUGUAAGCCUGCGAAGGUGACCUGUGAGGGUUGCUGGAGGUAUCAGAAGUGCGAAUGCUGACAUAAGUAACGAUAAAGCGGGUGAAAAGCCCGCUCGCCGGAAGACCAAGGGUUCCUGUCCAACGUUAAUCGGGGCAGGGUGAGUCGACCCCUAAGGCGAGGCCGAAAGGCGUAGUCGAUGGGAAACAGGUUAAUAUUCCUGUACUUGGUGUUACUGCGAAGGGGGGACGGAGAAGGCUAUGUUAGCCGGGCGACGGUUGUCCCGGUUUAAGCAUGUAGGCUGGUU
This 1491-nucleotide ribosomal RNA is filed under the name Klebsiella pneumoniae subsp. pneumoniae. Its description in RNAcentral is "partial 23S ribosomal RNA". It matches the Rfam family "Bacterial large subunit ribosomal RNA", at positions 1 to 1530 of the family's 2925-position model. Lineage: Bacteria; Pseudomonadati; Pseudomonadota; Gammaproteobacteria; Enterobacterales; Enterobacteriaceae. The record is from RNAcentral.